UCGGGUACGGUGUAGCGGUACCAUCGCUGACUCUCAAUCUCUCCCUCUCCCACAAGAGAGAAAAGAGCACAACCUUCUCUCAGCAGCCCGGGGUUCGACUCCCCGUAUCCGAG
Molecule: non-coding RNA, 113 nt
Organism: Schizothecium vesticola
Lineage: Eukaryota; Fungi; Ascomycota; Sordariomycetes; Sordariales; Schizotheciaceae
Source: the annotation of a GenBank genome assembly